Transfer RNA from Ovis aries (sheep), 94 nucleotides. It matches the Rfam family "tRNA". From Rfam's summary of the family: Transfer RNA (tRNA) molecules are approximately 80 nucleotides in length. Their secondary structure includes four short double-helical elements and three loops (D, anti-codon, and T loops). Further hydrogen bonds mediate the characteristic L-shaped molecular structure. tRNAs have two regions of fundamental functional importance: the anti-codon, which is responsible for specific mRNA codon recognition, and the 3' end, to which the tRNAs corresponding amino acid is attached (by aminoacyl-tRNA synthetases). tRNAs cope with the degeneracy of the genetic code in two manners: having more than one tRNA (with a specific anti-codon) for a particular amino acid; and 'wobble' base-pairing, i.e. permitting non-standard base-pairing at the 3rd anti-codon position. The record is from Rfam. NCBI's taxonomy places the organism in Eukaryota, Metazoa, Chordata, Mammalia, Artiodactyla, Bovidae.
CCUUCGAUAGCUCAGUUGGUAGAGCGGAGGACUGUAGUUGAUGUAUUAACUGAGAGACAUCCUUAGGUCGCUGGUUCGACUCCGGCUCGAAGGA